GACGAACCGAGCGAACGUUGUUCGGAAUAACUGGGCUUAAAGGGCGCGUAGGCGGGCCGCCAAGUCCGAGGUGAAAUCCUCCGGCUCAACCGGAGAACUGCCUCGGAUACUGGAGGUCUCGAGGGUGGUAGGGGCAUGCGGAACUGUGGGUGGAGCGGUGAAAUGCGUUGAUAUCCACAGGAACUCCGGUGGCGAAGGCGGCAUGCUGGACCACAUCUGACGCUGAGGCGCGAAAGCCAGGGGAGCAAACGGG
RNAcentral lists this ribosomal RNA (253 nucleotides) under uncultured bacterium. Its description in RNAcentral is "partial 16S ribosomal RNA". It matches the Rfam family "Bacterial small subunit ribosomal RNA", at positions 524 to 776 of the family's 1533-position model. The record is from RNAcentral.